This 435-nucleotide ribosomal RNA is filed under the name uncultured bacterium. RNAcentral's name for it is "partial 16S ribosomal RNA". It matches the Rfam family "Bacterial small subunit ribosomal RNA", at positions 29 to 507 of the family's 1533-position model. The record is from RNAcentral.
AGCGAACGCUGGCGGCAGGCUUAACACAUGCAAGUCGAGCGGGCACUUUCGGGUGUCAGCGGCGGACGGGUGAGUAACGCGUUGGAACGUGCCCUCUGGUUCGGAAUAACUCAGGGAAACUUGAGCUAAUACCGGAUACGCCCUUUUGGGGAAAGGCUUGCUGCCGGGGGAUCGGCCCGCGUCUGAUUAGCUAGUUGGUUAGGUAACGGCUCACCAAGGCGGAGAUCAGUAGCUGGUCUGAGAGGAUGAUCAGCCACACUGGGACUGAGACACGGCCCAGACUCCUACGGGAGGCAGGAGUGGGGAAUAUUGGACAAUGGGCGCAAGCCUGAUCCAGCCAUGCCGCGUGAGUGAUCAAGGCCUUAGGGUUGUAAAGCUCUUUUAUACGGGACGAGAAUGACGGUACCGGAGGAAUAAGCACCGGCUAACUUCGUG